GAUAAAUUAAUAUUGGUGGGAUGUGGAGAAAAGUAUAUUUAAUAAAUAUGUAUUAAAAUUAAAUUAUGUGUUAGUUAUUGAUUUGUGUGUUUUAUUUGUUUAAUUUAUUUAAUUUAUGUUAUAAUUUUAUAAAAUAGGUUUUUUUUUUUUAUUGAUUUUAAUUUAUUUUUGUGAUUGUAUUGGGUUUUUGUUAUUGUGUGGG
Molecule: unclassified non-coding RNA, 202 nt
Filed under: Hevea brasiliensis (rubber tree)
Lineage: Eukaryota; Viridiplantae; Streptophyta; Magnoliopsida; Malpighiales; Euphorbiaceae
Source: RNAcentral